GCCUUCGUGGUGUAAUGGUAGCACACUGAGUUGGUAUUUCAGAGGUCCGUGGUUCGAUCCCCGGCGAAGGUA
Non-coding RNA from Stegodyphus mimosarum, 72 nucleotides. The record is from Rfam. NCBI's taxonomy places the organism in Eukaryota, Metazoa, Arthropoda, Arachnida, Araneae, Eresidae.